RNAcentral lists this transfer RNA (74 nucleotides) under Ardenticatenaceae bacterium. RNAcentral describes it as "tRNA-Arg". It matches the Rfam family "tRNA". Rfam says of the family: Transfer RNA (tRNA) molecules are approximately 80 nucleotides in length. Their secondary structure includes four short double-helical elements and three loops (D, anti-codon, and T loops). The record is from RNAcentral. Lineage: Bacteria; Bacillati; Chloroflexota; Ardenticatenia; Ardenticatenales; Ardenticatenaceae.
GCCCCAGUAGCUCAACGGAUAGAGCAACAGACUUCUAAUCUGUAGGUUGGGGGUUCGAUUCCCUCCUGGGGUAC